CUCAUGCAUACUCUCCAUUUCUUCUAUAUGUCUACUUUGUAAAUCCCUGGUGCCAGGAUAAGAUUUGGUAUUAACUGGCCGAGAGAUAAUGACAUUAACUGGUCAUGUUAUUCUAACUACUUGUCCAAGUAAACACACUGAUAGGAAUAGGUUUUUCUAUUGAGUUGCUUGGUGUCUCUUUUGCACCCAACUGCCCUUCGGUUAGUGUUGGUAUUAACAUGUGCAAUCAGGAAUUUUAUACUUUUGUAUCUGCUCUCAUAGGUCCAACAACAUUCCUCUUACCUGAAUUCAUUGUCACCAAUCUUUCAGUACUUUUUCAAAGUCCUAAACAACUAGAAAGAUUUUUGUCCAUGUUUAUGAGUCCAUUUAUUCUGCCAGACCACUUAUCUCUCCAGAGAAAGAUGAAAAGGUACACUGGCCAAAGCUUUGCCCACUGGGAGUAUUUCCCUUCACCACUACCUUUGAAUGUCACUGUAGAGUGUGUCUGCCAUUUAGCUUUGUUCCUCCUCUGUCAGAAAGUCAUAAAUGAUGCCCCGAUGCACCAUACGUGUGAGUUAAAGGAGAGAAAUCCAUUUAAAAGUGUGAUUGAUUUGGGGUUGGAAUGGUCUGCGUAUUCAGCUUACUCAUGCCCUCUCCAGAUGUAUUACUUCCAACUUAUGACUUGGUCGCUUUGACAGAACCCAACUCAUGAUGGAUAAUUAUGGGCACACAGUUACUUUUAAGCCCUACUUGUUAGGAUCUCUUAGUUCUAUGGCCUAGUAACACAAUAGAAUAAAUGUGUCAUUUUACGGCCCAUCACAUACCCUUGCCACCUAACUCAACCAGGGCUCACCUUAUAUUGUUAUUCUCCUAUUGGAUCCUUCAGAAAAUUUCACAUGACAUCUUUACUCUCCAUAGAUAUUUCUAUUGCCAUAGGAUCUGAGGGUUUAUCGCCCACAUGGCAAAUCUACUAAUACCAUAGCCUACAAUUACUGGAUAAUCCUUUCUUAUUUUGAAUCUCAGGCAACACGGGUAGUCUUUGUAUCACUUCAAAUGGGUCAGAGCAGCAUUUCCAAGUAUGACACACACCACUUCCAGAAUCUGAACAGCCUUGCCAGAAUGCCAUGCUCUACUUGACAUCUUCAUAGCUUUCUGAAGGUCAGGCCCUAUAUUUGCUGGCCUCAGUGCUCAUGGUUUUGAACUAAAAUGUGUCCCCUCCAAAUUCGUAUUUCACAGCCCCAUGCUCAAGGUGACUGCAUUUGAAGACGAGUCCUUUAAUAUGAGAUAGGGUCAUUAAGGUUAAGUGAGGUCCUAGGAAUGAAGCCCUAGUAUGAUAGGUCUGGUAUCCUCAUAAGAGAAAGAUAUCAGGGUAAAGACAAUGCGAGAACAGUAAGAUAGAGUAUAUCUUAAAGUCAGGUGGAGAAUUCUCACCAGAAAUCAACCCACUAGCACCUUGAUCUUGGACUUCCUAGCUCCAGAACUAUAAGAAAACGCAUUUCUAUUCUCUUAGCACCCAGUCUAUGGAAUUUUGUUGUGGCAGCCUGAGCAGAUUUAUACUCAUUAUAAGUGAUGAUGUAUGCCUUGCUUUUGAUGGAACAUCUACCAACUAGCCUCUAUUGUUGCUAUUAUUGAAUCCAGUUGUGUAAAAGCAUCUUCCAUUAUAAGUCCUGGUAUUCAAAGGACAGCUUCCAUCAAGAAUUCUCAAGAAUACUCCAUGUUGCUUUUUUCCAGCCCGUUCUUUAUCACUUUCAUACAUGGAAUCUCUUUUGGGCCUUGAUGCUGAACUAUUCAGCUGGUCUAUCUUCCAGCUUUAAAUAUAUACCCAUUAUAUCCUGUUCAUUCUAUGAGUCUUUUGAUUCUUUCUUCCACUAUUUACCUGGCCAGUUAUGUAAUGUCUGUAUCACUUUCUAAAAGAUUCUGAGAACCAUGCUAACACUAGCUAGUAUCCUAGUUAGCAAUAUCUCUUGGAAUUUUUAGCAAUUAUUAUAAAAUAUAAAAUAAAUCCUAUAUGAUAGAAGAGUGAUCAUAUACCUACCAACUCCAGUAUCCAACUCUGUAUUCUGCUCUUGCUGACCUAGCAUCCUCAGAACCUGUACCCUAUAUAUUUUUCUGGUUCCUACUGCUACAUGUUUCUGUAUUCUGAAGUUUUUUUAGGAUAUAAUCCCUUUCUUCCUUAGACUACUCAGUCCUUCUCUGGCCAAGUUAUGUACUAGUUGGACCCUGGCUUUUGAGCUAACAGCCAGCUCAUAAGGAGGUGACCUCUGAAUUUUCUUCAAGCAAGUAAAGAGCUCUUCCUCUAACAGGGAGAAACAUGCCACUUCUGCAAGUGAGGAGAGUUCAGAGGAAUCUGUGGUUCCAGUGUUUUGAAUAUACAUGUCUCAGGGCCUCAUUCUUUCCCAACUAGGUUCCUUACCUUUGCACAGCAGAUUAGCUAAGGCUGAAAACAACCUUCUCUGAAGUUCUACUACUCCUAAGUUCUGAAGGUGAGCCUCAAUUUUCCUGCCUUCAGGCUCAGGAGAUAAGUCUCUUUGUAUACUUUAAAGAGAGUAUACUUAUAUACUUAAUAUAAGGCCCUUUAACUUUUAAACUCCCUUUCAAUUGGUGAUUAGUCAUUCCCUAUCUUCUAUUAGCUUUGUGCCGUACAUCAAGCACUGAGGAAAAGCCAUCAGUUUACCUUGUCUUUAUAAUUACUAUUUAUCAAAUUUCAUAUGACUCCUACCAGCACUAUCUUUCACCAAUUUCUGGUUCAAAAUCAUUAUUCUGAAAGUUUUAACAAUUAUAGCAUAUUAGGGUUAACAUCACUCCACCAAACACUAGGGCUUUUCAUUGCCUGUGAGAUGGCCAGUCUAGCUUUAAAGCCCUUUUUAGAGUUUUCUUCUUUGGGCCACUUCUGGUACCAAUUGUCUUAUAUCUCAGAAAUAGACUUAGAGAAGGAGAUUUGAGUGUAAGAAGUUUACAGAGAAUACCUCCAGGCAUGGCACCUAUAGGAUAUGAAGUCUAUAUAUUGAGCAGAGGGGAGAUUUAAGCUAUGUUGUACUUGCAACAGAGGCUGCAUUCAUCCCACUGGGAAUUUAAGAGCUGGAACAAAGCUUCACAAAUGCAUCUCUGAAGGUAGGGGGGCCAGAUUUAUAGGCUGUGACAAACAAGACAUGGGAAGUAGGCUGUCCCCAAGGAGAGGACAUAGUUUUAGGUUUGGUUGUUUCUCUGAUGAGGAGAAAACUCAGCUCUGAGCAGUCAGUCACCAAUCCUCUCAGAAGCAGGGGAAAGAAUACCUUAUUUCUAAAGGUAUUCACUACAGGCUAGCUUUGUCUUUGUGUCUCACUUCUUUAGCUAUAAAUAUAAGAAGAUAGUAGGACCACUCUUAUCAGGUGAGUAAAAGGAUUGCAUGAUUUUAUUCAUGUAAAGUAUCCACUACUGUAUAGUAAGCAUUCAAGAUAGUUAGGUUCCAACACAAUAUACUAAUGUUUUAAUAAUAUUACUAACCGUGGCUUAUCUGAGUUAAAACAAUAUUGACUUAAAACAAGACUAGGCUUCCAUAUUUCAUUAAGAAAUGCUUGUUAAAUUGUCUUAUAUAAUUCAACUUGUUACCUAAAAGAACCCCUAAGCAAAUAGAAGCAGCAAUAGUGAGGACUAAUUCCAAAAGUUUCCUUUAAGAAAAUUCUUGCUACCAUCUUGCCAUUUAUUCAUAGGCAGUUAUGGAAGAGUAGAGAUAUUUAUGAUAGGCUGGCAUUAUUCUCUUGUAGACAAUCCCCAAGCCAUAGGUUAUAAAUAAGGAUGGUUCUGGGGUCUAGGAGGAGUGAGAAAGUUGAAAAAUGGAUGAACUGACUCAAGCAAGAGAUUAGGGUGGGGAGUUCUGGGCAACCACAGUGGAUAUUGAGAACCAGUGGGAAAAUAUUUAUUGGCAAUUGAAUAAUAAAUGGAAGCAGAACAUAGACAGUUCUGGAGUCAGAUAGGCUUGUUUGUGAAUCCUGAAUCAGACUGUAGAUGUAGAGAUCAUCUUAACUGGCUCAAGCUUAUCAAGCAACUGCUUCUCAUGAAUUGUUCAAGGAGCAUAAGAACCUUGCCUAGCUCACAACUGUGUUGUGGAAACUAAGACAAAGCAUUUAAAGUUCUCAGCAUAAUGCAUGGUACAAGGUGGAUAUAAAUAUCUAUUUGCUAUUAGAAUUAUUAUAAAGCAUCACCAAGAGCAGGACAUUAGCUCAGGCAAGUGAUGGUAGCGAUAAUGAUUAGUAAUAGAGCAUGUUAUCCAGAACUACCUAACCUAAUCUUUGUCCUCAAGGAACUUACCUCAGAUAUUUUAUAGCACUUAAAAGAGUUUCUGGAUUUACCUUGAUAAACGGUCACAAUUAGACUCUGUACUUGGAACUUAGCAAAAAAGAAACCAAUGUAUUUUUCAGAUGUAGAAAGUGUUUCCAUGGUUUGCCUUUUCACCAAUCCUUUCUAGUACCUACACUCUUUCUUGUUUGUCUUCUCCUUUAGGAAAGUAUUAAAACCCUUUCCCUUUCAUGACAGGCAAUGAAAAGGGAGCUGUGUUUCUGCUGGACCUGGCUUGGAUUUGUUGACAUUGAGCUGAAAUUGGAUAAUCAAUUCAUUAUUUAUAGACCUGUUCACAUAAUGGAAAACAUUUAUUUCACUUUUCCCUUAAAAAAAAGCCACACAAUAAAAAAAUGUUUAAUUAAUGACAUGUGCAAAGCAUGUCUUAAGCAAAGAUUUACUUGUUUUAUGGGUUUGGCAAAUUCUUUUAGCCAUUUCCUUCCAGAUGCUGACAAGCCUGUUUGUUUAUAUGCAUUAGCUCUUCUAAAAAUCAGCCAAGUGGAGUUCCCGUCGUGGUGCAGUGGUUAACGAAUCCGACUAGGAACCAUGAGGUUGCAGGUCAGAUCCCUGCCCUUGCUCAGUGGGUUAAGGAUCCAGCGUUGCCUUGAGCUGUGGUGUAGGUCGCAGACGCGGCUCGGAUCCCGCAUUGCUGUGGCUCUGGCAUAGGCUGGCGGCUACAGCUCCGAUUAGACCCCUGGCCUGGGAACCU
Molecule: long non-coding RNA, 5002 nt
Filed under: Sus scrofa (pig)
Lineage: Eukaryota; Metazoa; Chordata; Mammalia; Artiodactyla; Suidae
Description: lncRNA (ENSSSCG00000063505.1)
Source: RNAcentral